UCGAGAAUCUUCCGCAAUGGGCGAAACCCUGACGAAGCAACGCCGCGUGGAGGAUGAAGGCCUUCGGGUCGUAAACUCCUGUCGACCGGGACGAACGCUAUUGGGCCCAAUACGCCCGAUAGUCGACUGUACCGGUGGAGGAAGCCACGGCUAACUCUGUGCCAGCAGCCGCGGUAAUACAGAGGUGGCAAGCGUUGUUCGGAAUUACUGGGCGUAAAGGGCGCGUAGGCGGUCCUGUCAGUCCCUUGUGAAAUCCCCCGGCUCAACUGGGGAACUGCAAGGGAUACAGCAGGGCUUGAGUUCGGGAGAGGGAAGCGGAAUUCCGGGGUGUAGCGGUGAAAUGCGUAGAUAUCUGGAGGAACACCGGUGGCGAAGGCGGCAUCCUGGACCGGUAUUGACGCUGAGUGAGCGAAAGCCAGGGGAGCAAACGGGAUUAGAUACCCAUGUAGUCCCUGAGCGGGCUGGCAAGGCGCAU
This 475-nucleotide ribosomal RNA is filed under the name uncultured bacterium. RNAcentral's name for it is "bacterial SSU rRNA". It matches the Rfam family "Bacterial small subunit ribosomal RNA", at positions 355 to 825 of the family's 1533-position model. The record is from RNAcentral.